CGCAACCAGCUCCUUGCGGCUCUUCUGUUGAGCGCUGAGAGAUCGAACGCUCGUCCUCGCUCCGCUGCUGCCUGCAAACACAUCCAGAGAGAGACGCAGAUCGUCUUUACAGGACGCCCACAAAUAUUGGCGCCCGUGAUUGCUCAGACCUGCUCUGGACCGGGCCGAGCGCUGAGAGACGCUGGAGCUCUGUCUCCGCACCGCCGAGCUGCUGUGGACGGCCUUCCUGGGCACACGGGUGUUUGUGGAGACGGCCGAGACGUCAGCGGCGCUCUUCUCAGCUUUCUCUUCACUGUCUGAAUCAGUGUGAGACGUCCUGGGCACGUCUUCGUCCCACAGACCGUAGCACUGAGGAAGAAGGGAUUACUGACUGUUGUUUCAGUGCAUUGCAUGCAAAAAUAAAGGGUCUUGAUUAAAUAUGAGCACGCUGUCACAUGACCGGUUUACUUCCUGUUUGCUUGAUGAGAUGAUGAUGCACAAAAAGGGCCAGUAAAGACAUUAAUAAAGACAUGAAAAAUGAAAUGAAGAUUUUUCUUUCAGGUCAUAAGCAGUUUGGGGCGAUACCUUCAGGAUGGAGCGGUGGAAGAAGAGCGCGAGGAGCUGGACCAGGUCGUAGUGGACGUAGCCCUCUUUCUUCUCCACGCCGAUGAUGUUGGGCGGGUGGA
This is a long non-coding RNA of Puntigrus tetrazona (Sumatra barb), 665 nucleotides long. RefSeq lists it as uncharacterized. The record is from RefSeq and is a predicted model, not a curated record. Lineage: Eukaryota; Metazoa; Chordata; Actinopteri; Cypriniformes; Cyprinidae. The transcript has 3 exons.